CUUGUGAGCAUGUGUGAAGAGGCCCUCAUCCACUGCAAGAAGGGUUCCCGGGGAUAAGCGCGCCCUCGCCCACCGCUGUAACCAUUCUAGAAAUGACUCACCAAGCUCUCAAGCCUCAGAGCACCACCAAGCAGACAGCUGCUAGCUUCCUGCGUCAACAGGACAAAGGACUACUGUGGUCCCAGAGGUAACUGACUCUGGUGGGAAGGAACUGUACUGGACUCUGCCGAGGGGACCUCUGGAUGAAUGAGGAACUGGGGUACUAUGCUGACAGACUCCCACCUCCCGCUGCUGCGCUCACCUACCUUGGAGAUCCCUGAAAUUAUGAUGGUGCUUUUCUUCCGUGGGGACUUCAGUUUCAGCUUUGAGGACUCGCUGAGCUGCCGAAUGGCAACUUCAGCCACAGGAUCUGAGCCGUUCAGUACCAACAGUUCUGCCAGAAAGAAGGCAGCACUGAGUUCAGUAGCAAACUUAACAAGCUCCAAGCGAAGCCCCAGGACAGGGGGCAGCAUAGUCUACAGGCAGUGGUCGGCAAGCAUUUGGAAGAAGGAGGGAGAAAGUAAGGGAUUGGGAUUUUUUCCCAACUUAUCUCCCCAUAAAGUAGAAGCAGACAGGAGCCACAUGUAAAUGAACAGGCAAGGCCUGGUUCUGGUAAAACUUUAUUUUCGGAAACAAA
Molecule: long non-coding RNA, 676 nt
Organism: Rattus rattus (black rat)
Lineage: Eukaryota; Metazoa; Chordata; Mammalia; Rodentia; Muridae
Exons: 2
Source: RefSeq, a predicted model, not a curated record